GUGUCAGCAGCCGCGGUAAGACGAACCGUGCGAACGUUGUUCGGAUUCACUGGGCUUAAAGGGCGCGUAGGCGGGCGAUCAAGUCCGGGGUGAAAUCUUUCGGCUCAACCGGAAAAGUGCCUUGGAUACUGGUCGCCUCGAGGGAGGUAGGGGCAUGCGGAACUUCCGGUGGAGCGGUGAAAUGCGUAGAUAUCGGAAGGAACGCCGGUGGCGAAAGCGGCGUGCUGGACCUCUGCUGACGCUGAGGCGCGAAAGCCAGGGGAGCGAACGGGAUUAGAUACCCCAGUAGUCC
Molecule: ribosomal RNA, 292 nt
Filed under: uncultured bacterium
Lineage: Bacteria
Description: partial 16S ribosomal RNA
Rfam family: Bacterial small subunit ribosomal RNA
Source: RNAcentral